GGGACAGUAAGCAUAACAGGUACUGCGGCGGAUUGCUAAUCCGUUCACCGAUGGAUUCCGGUGUGCAGGUUCGAGUCCUGCCUGUUCCGCCA
Molecule: transfer RNA, 92 nt
Filed under: Caudoviricetes sp.
Lineage: Duplodnaviria; Heunggongvirae; Uroviricota; Caudoviricetes
Description: tRNA-Ser
Rfam family: tRNA
About the family: Transfer RNA (tRNA) molecules are approximately 80 nucleotides in length. Their secondary structure includes four short double-helical elements and three loops (D, anti-codon, and T loops).
Source: RNAcentral